AGUGAACGCUGGCGGCGUGCCUAAUACAUGCAAGUCGAACGGAAUUUAAAAGAGCUUGCUCUUUUAAAUUUAGUGGCGCACGGGUGAGUAAUAUAUAGCUAAUCUGCCCCUUGCUGGAGGACAACAGUUAGAAAUGACUGCUAAUACUCCAUACUCCUUUUUACCAUAAGAUAAAUCGGGAAAGAAUUUCGGCAAGGGAUGAGACUAUAUCGUAUCAGCUAGUCGGUGGGGUAACGGCCUACCGAGGCUAUGACGCGUAACUGGCCUGAGAGGAUGAUCAGUCACAUUGGAACUGAGACACGGUCCAAACUCCUACGGGAGGCAGCAGUAGGGAAUAUUGCGCAAUGGGGGAAACCCUGACGCAGCAACGCCGCGUGGAGGAUGACACUUUUCGGAGCGUAAACUCCUUUUGUUAGGGAAGAAUAAGACGGUACC
This 435-nucleotide ribosomal RNA is filed under the name Campylobacter gracilis. RNAcentral's name for it is "bacterial SSU rRNA". It matches the Rfam family "Bacterial small subunit ribosomal RNA", at positions 29 to 479 of the family's 1533-position model. The record is from RNAcentral. Lineage: Bacteria; Pseudomonadati; Campylobacterota; Epsilonproteobacteria; Campylobacterales; Campylobacteraceae.